CCUACGGGUGGCAGCAGUGAGGAAUAUUGGUCAAUGGACGAGAGUCUGAACCAGCCAAGUAGCGUGAAGGAUGACUGCCCUAUGGGUUGUAAACUUCUUUUAUAUGGGAAUAAAAUGUUCCACGUGUGGGAUUUUGUAUGUACCAUAUGAAUAAGGAUCGGCUAACUCCGUGCCAGCAGCCGCGGUAAUACGGAGGUUCCGGGCGUUAUCCGGAUUUAUUGGGUUUAAAGGGAGCGUAGGUGGAUUGUUAAGUCAGUUGUGAAAGUUUGCGGAUCAACCGUAAAAUUGCAGUUGAAACUGGCAGUCUGGAGUGCAGUAGAGGUGGGCGGAAUUCGUGGUGUAGCGGUGAAAUGCUUAGAUAUCACGAAGAACACCGAUUGCGAAGGCAGCUCACUGGACUGCAACUGACACUGAGGCUCGAAAGUGUGGGUAUCAAACAGGAUUAGAUACCCGAGUAGUC
RNAcentral lists this ribosomal RNA (460 nucleotides) under uncultured bacterium. Its description in RNAcentral is "partial 16S ribosomal RNA". It matches the Rfam family "Bacterial small subunit ribosomal RNA", at positions 338 to 795 of the family's 1533-position model. The record is from RNAcentral.